This 551-nucleotide ribosomal RNA is filed under the name uncultured bacterium. RNAcentral describes it as "bacterial SSU rRNA". It matches the Rfam family "Bacterial small subunit ribosomal RNA", at positions 355 to 897 of the family's 1533-position model. The record is from RNAcentral.
UAGGGAAUCUUCGGCAAUGGACGGAAGUCUGACCGAGCAACGCCGCGUGAGUGAAGAAGGUUUUCGGAUCGUAAAGCUCUGUUGUAAGAGAAGAACGAGUGUGAGAGUGGAAAGUUCACACUGUGACGGUAUCUUACCAGAAAGGGACGGCUAACUACGUGCCAGCAGCCGCGGUAAUACGUAGGUCCCGAGCGUUGUCCGGAUUUAUUGGGCGUAAAGCGAGCGCAGGCGGUUAGAUAAGUCUGAAGUUAAAGGCUGUGGCUUAACCAUAGUACGCUUUGGAAACUGUUUAACUUGAGUGCAAGAGGGGAGAGUGGAAUUCCAUGUGUAGCGGUGAAAUGCGUAGAUAUAUGGAGGAACACCGGUGGCGAAAGCGGCUCUCUGGCUUGUAACUGACGCUGAGGCUCGAAAGCGUGGGGAGCAAACAGGAUUAGAUACCCUGGUAGUCCACGCCGUAAACGAUGAGUGCUAGGUGUUAGACCCUUUCCGGGGUUUAGUGCCGUAGCUAACGCAUUAAGCACUCCGCCUGGGGAGUACGACCGCAAGGUUUG